AGAAGCAGAAGUUGUGUUUUCAGCCUCAGGGAGCUCUAGUGGAGAGACAAGAUUCGUGCAUGAAAUAAUUACGACUGUUGUAGAAAAAAGAAAAGCCUGUAGGUCUCCCUUCCUCCCUCCUUCUCUCUGUCUACCUCAGCAUUUCUGGGGUUCACUCUGCUCUGGGUACUGUGUAAAGGACUCCACAGCCAUCAACUUCCCUUCAUCCUUGCCGUGUCUUUGAAAGAGCUGAGAUUUCUUUACAUCACAGUGGUUCAAGGAGAAAAACACAGCCAGAUCCUUCCUCAUCUCAACAUAAAUUAAACCCAGAGGCAGUCAGCGCCACAGUCCACACUCGUAACCGUUACACUCACCUGGAAAUAAAAGUAUUUUUGUGCGGGGACUGCAAGGACUAAGCCCGGCCGCACUCCGAGUUUCUCCUCCUCACAGAUGCGGAGAUAAGAGCCCAGAGAGGUUAAGUGGCCCAGCCAAGAUCACACAGCACAGUGGCAGCCAAAGAGAGAUAGGGGCUGAGGCUCAGAGAGGGCAAGUGACCUGCCCAAAGUCACACAGCCGUGACUCAUUGCUCAGGUGAGGAAACUGAGGCUCAGAGAGGGUCCGUGGCAUGUCCAAGGUUACUCUGCUGAGGCAAGGAACUAUGUGAGCCACUCCAGUGUUCCCAGCCCCAAGGCCAGGCACAGUGGACAUUUAUUGCUGAAUGAAUGAAUCAAGAGAGAGGAUCAGAAAGCUGCAGAGGAUGAUAGAUCUGCAAAAUUCUCCCUGGGUGAGGCCCAGGCUCAGCUUCCAGAACAGCUCCAUCUGUCUCCCACUCACUGAGAUUGAACUAAUGUCCCACAGUUGGACAGACCUGAAAUUGAGCUCUGUGAUUUUGGAUACCUGCCCCUCUGCUGGAGAUUCUGCAUGUCUGAGGUACCAGCCAUUGCCAGAAACUGGGCUAUGUUCUCUCCUUUCAUUGUGCCAUUUCAUUCUCACCCCAAAAUGAAAACACACAAAAAAAUCACUUUCUUCCCAAAGAGAA
Molecule: long non-coding RNA, 1018 nt
Organism: Homo sapiens (human)
Lineage: Eukaryota; Metazoa; Chordata; Mammalia; Primates; Hominidae
Product: long intergenic non-protein coding RNA 1141
Source: Ensembl